Molecule: small RNA, 318 nt
Filed under: Arabidopsis thaliana (thale cress)
Lineage: Eukaryota; Viridiplantae; Streptophyta; Magnoliopsida; Brassicales; Brassicaceae
Description: ATSL216950
Source: RNAcentral
CUUCAUGUUAAUCUCUUGCCUAAAAAGACAUUUCCAAAUCGAUCGCUUGGUUCCGACUUCCGUCAUCCUUAAAUUUAAUGAUUUUUGUACCUUUGGCGUUUAAAUAUUGGACUCCUAAAUUUUGGUUCUCUGAGCGGCAAUGAUAUUGGAGAAUUCUACUAGAACCGAAAUUGUUCUUAAUCACAAUCUCAGUUUUCUUGCAAGCAUCAUUUACCACAAAAUAAAUCGCACUAACUAAUAUGAAAAUUAUUAGACGACUCAUUUGUUUGAAUCUAAAGUAAUUGUCAGAGAAACAAGAGCAUCAACAUGUAAUAGUUU